RNAcentral lists this long non-coding RNA (2658 nucleotides) under Fragaria vesca (wild strawberry). RNAcentral's name for it is "long non-coding RNA (FVES_LNC003597)". The record is from RNAcentral. Lineage: Eukaryota; Viridiplantae; Streptophyta; Magnoliopsida; Rosales; Rosaceae.
UUUUCCUAAUAAAAAAAAAAGUUUAUAGGUAUCAAAAAAUGUCUUUCAUUGUAGUUUAGAUACUAUUUGGGGUAUUUACCUAUCCAAAUGCAUGUCACAUAGGCGCAUAAAACAGAAAAACUAACGGAUGUACCAUGUUAGGUAACAGCAAUACUUGAGGUACCAUUUCAAGUAAAGAAAAUUAGUUAUCCUCUCCCUUUUGUGACCCAUUAACAGUUAUCUCCCUUUUGUGAAGAAAAUUAGUUAUCUUCUCCAAAAUUAACAGAAUAUAAAUAAUGAAGGGAGAUGGGUGCAAGAGAGAAGGGUCGUGCUGAACUAUUGUUGAGAAUAUGGAGUAGGGUCAAAUUUAUGGGACGAAUUUGCCCUUGAAAAAUUAACAGGGUUAACGUCGUUGACGGUCACUAAUGCCGAAAGUUGGUCGGGGUUGAAACAUGAGAUAUGAUUAUGAUAUAUAGUAAAGUUGGGUCACGAAAAUUAAUAGUCAAACAAAGUUUAGAUAUUGUUUGAGCAACUUUCUCCUUGAUAAAUAAGUUUAUUUCCUAUAGUAUUUGACGUUUUAGCCAUAUUCUAAACUCACAUCUCAAGUUUCAAAAAUAUCAUAAUAAUACAUAUAUGACACUGACUUUGACUAAAUAUUUGUAACUGCAGUCGUUAGCUCCGGUAUAUAUGUGUUGUUGGACUAGGCAAGUGCCUAUACUCGCCUCUAUGUCAAUCCGCCCCUGUUGUUGGCUGCAUAAUUGAAAGAUUUUUGUCCAAUGAUUCCAAUCAUUGUUUCUCUUCUCCAAAGUUUUGAGCAAAUCUAUAAACUGUGAAAGUAUUGAAAUGGAUUAAAAACUAGAUAGAGCACAGAUAAGAAUAAUUUGAUUCAGCAGCUUGGUGCAAAACCUCAAUGAGGGAAAAAACACCAAGCAAGAUUAUUUCAUUAAUCUUCAAAACUUUACAAGAAGUAAUUCUCACUCAAUUACAAAUUCUUGUAUCUGUUUUAACUCUCACUUCUCACACAAGUGAUUCAUGUAACUCUACAAAGAGAAACUGAACAAACACACUGAGUCUUACAACACACUCAGCUUCAUCUAGUUCUUACACACAACUAGAUUUCAGGGUAGAAAACUAAGACUUAAACACUCUUAGUUUGCUCUCAGCUGAUUCUUCCACAAUCAGUGAUCCUUGGUUCUUUGACACAACCAGUCGACUAAGUCCUGCAAUGCAGUCAGCCUUUUUCCUAUCACCAUAAGAUCUCAGUUCUUCCAAUCUCAAAUGCAACCUGUUUGCAAGUCAGAGAGAAAGUCUUAGUCUUUUGGAUAAUACACUCAAGCAAUUUGCAAAUUGAUCAUACACAAGAUUAACUCCACAAACAAGAAAUCUGAUCAAUCACAAAAAGCCUACCUUACACAGACCACAGCAUAAGCAAUUUAUAAAGGUUGACACUCCCCCUCAACUAAUGCAAUUCAAUGAGAAAAUCAUUUUUUCGUUUAAGGAGGAAUACAGUCAGUUCACUGUUAUCUUGCACUUUCCAAAAACUCAAGAACCAGUUUCAUGCUAUAACAUAGUAACCAUAUAACAACAGAUUAAAUUGUUGGCUGCUGAGAGCAAUGAUUAAGUCUAUAUAAUUAUAUGACCAUAUAUGAUUUUAACAACACAAGAUUAAUGCAGAUAAUAAAUCUGUUAUUCCUGAUUUGUAACAGCACCAAAUCAGAUCUAGUAUAAUAAUUAUACAUUCUGCAAAUAUUCACUGUAAAGGGAACUGAUAUGGAAAUUUCUAGACAUGAGAUUUUCCACCAGAAAAUCAGCAAGUAAACAAAUAAGAUGAAAAGAAUUAACUUACCAUACAAAAUAAGUUUGAAGUUCAUUACCUUGAGAUUUGCAUCAAACGAAAAUACCUCUGAUCAAGCUGCUGUCAUAAUUGCUUCCUUUCCUAGUGACAUUAGGAGUUCUCGGUGUUGAAUAGUAAUAGCCAAUAUAUUAACAGUGACACGACCCACCCCGAAUUUCAUCCUGAAACCCGGAGUAAGUCGUGCGGGGACCACCUCCAAGGAAAAUUUACUGAAAAGAUUGAGAAAAUCUCCCUUGCAGAUGGACAACCCUAACUCGAAAAUUCCAAAUUUCACUCUUAAUUCAACACUUCCAAACAUCACAUAAUAUACAAUAAUCCUAAAGUAUUCAGAGCUACUAAACACAAACGGAAGCAAGAAAACACGAGUAGAUUGAACAGGUAACCUACUGAUGAAAACUGGCAGAAAUGCGGGUGACUAUGCCUCGCCUCUUACUAGAUCCAACCCGAACUCUGCAGACUGGGCAAUUUAAAACGAAAGGCCCAGGGGAAAACAUUUAAUAACGUUAGAGUGAGUGGACAAAAAUAAAAUAAAGGAAAUAAUUCUUUAUGCUUUCCCAAUUUUUACUUUUCCAUAGAAAAGAAAAUAUGCUGCAUGCGACAGCUCAAAACGCUCAACACGAAAACUGGAAUUUCAUGACUGGCACCGGCCAGUCUCCAACGCUCAAUAAAAUACAGCCUCUCAGGCUAAAAUAAAAUAUGUAUGUAUUACACUCGUCAUAUCCCUUGUAUGAAUUUUCUUGAAACAACUAAAACAAAUAGCAAAUUCACACAAGGCUACAACGCUUGCGUCUAACGCUCACGUUGCACCAUAAUGGCAUUNNNNN